Aquila chrysaetos chrysaetos is the source of this 982-nucleotide long non-coding RNA. RefSeq lists it as uncharacterized. The record is from RefSeq and is a predicted model, not a curated record. The transcript is spliced from 2 exons. NCBI's taxonomy places the organism in Eukaryota, Metazoa, Chordata, Aves, Accipitriformes, Accipitridae.
GGGCUGGUAGCGUGGCGGCCGUGGGUCGUACCCGGGGAGGAGUGUGUAGGUUGGGUGGUGGCGGGGGAGGGAGGGAAAGGAAGUCCGGGCUGGUCCGAGGCGGAGUUGGGUCCCGGGGAGGAUGCGAGCCGCCAGGUCCCACCCGUCGCGGUGAAGAAAGGAGGGCGGGAGCAAGAGCCAGACCAUCCCGCCAGGACCACCUCGCCGCCGUGCGGGGCGGUGCCCGUUACUACCUGCCUCGGGGAGAGACGAGGCGGCCAGUAGCCGGUCCCAACCGGACCUCGAUCCCCCUUUUCUUUUCAAAUUUAUUUUCUUCCUUCCUCGUUUUCCUUCAUUCUCUCGUAUAACGACUCCCUUGCAGCCCUCCCGCUCCCUUGGCUGUCCCUGCCCUGGAGGUGUGGCUGUCCCCAUGCCCUCCUCUCGCCUCUCUCCCCCACCCCCGCCAAUCCGGCGCGCAGUGCAGCAGUUUGAAUACUGCCCGCCUCUCUCCUCGUCGCGGCGGGAACGCAGUGGAUUCUUUCUCUGGCCCCUGCUCGAGAUGGGGUCCGUCCUCGCGCACCGCCCCCCCCCCCCCGGCUUCUUAGGGGCCAGCGGUGGGGAUGACGGGUUUGACCUUGGGGUGCGUCUCCCCUUCUAGGGGAGUCUGGGACACGCAAGCGGUUGGGGGUGCUGGUCGGGUGGGGUGGCCGGGGGGGCGGGGGGUGUCUGGGGAAACGGCGCACGGCAAGAGGAGCCCCUUCCUUUUCUAGACGUUUCUUUUGCCUCGCGUUAAAAGGCACGAAUAGAGGCCUCACCCACAGACAUCAGCGCUCUGACUCAAAGGGCAACAAAUUCUCAGUGUGUUCCUUAUCCAGUUGAAUACUGACAUGUGUUUAAACAAUAAGUUACAGUUGCAACUCGGCUCCUUUCAGAACCAAGCAAUGAAAAUUACUUGUACUGACCUGUCUGUACUGAUACAUAAUAAAAUUGCAGAAUGAUCAAA